UCCGUAUAACAAUACUCCGAGAACUGAAAGGCUUUUUGAAGUCUUCGGAUGGAUAGAAGAACCCCUGAUGCCGUCGAGCCAAGAAAAGUUUCUAAGUUUAGCUAAUGUUGCCCGUACCGUAAACCGACACAGGUGGGUGGGAUGAGUAUUCUAAGGCGCGUGGAAGAACUCUCUUUAAGGAACUCUGCAAAAUAGCACCGUAUCUUC
RNAcentral lists this ribosomal RNA (207 nucleotides) under Campylobacter jejuni. RNAcentral describes it as "partial 23S ribosomal RNA". It matches the Rfam family "Bacterial large subunit ribosomal RNA", at positions 1533 to 1737 of the family's 2925-position model. The record is from RNAcentral. Lineage: Bacteria; Pseudomonadati; Campylobacterota; Epsilonproteobacteria; Campylobacterales; Campylobacteraceae.